Molecule: ribosomal RNA, 413 nt
Filed under: uncultured archaeon
Lineage: Archaea
Description: bacterial SSU rRNA
Rfam family: Archaeal small subunit ribosomal RNA
Source: RNAcentral
GCGCACCAGGCGCGAAACCUUUACAAUGCACGAAAGUGUGAUAAGGGUAUCCCUAGUGCUUGCCAUACGGCGGGCUUUUGCCAAGUGUAAAAAACUUGGAGAAUAAGUGGUGGGCAAGACCGGUGCCAGCCGCCGCGGUAACACCGGCGCCACAAGUGGUGAUCGCGUUUAUUGGGUCUAAAGCAUCUGUAGCCGGCUGGGUAAAUUUCUUGUGAAAUUGUGGUUUUAGUAACUACAGCGCGCAAGAAAAACUGCUCGGCUAGAGACCGGGAGGGGGCAAGAGAACUCCUUGGGUAGCGGUAAAAUGUGUUGAUCCUCGGAGGACUACCUAUGGCGAAGGCACUUGUCCAGAACGGUUCUGACGGUGAGAGAUGAAAGCUAGGGGAGCGAUCGGGAUUAGAUACCCCUGUAGU